RNAcentral lists this ribosomal RNA (405 nucleotides) under uncultured bacterium. Its description in RNAcentral is "bacterial SSU rRNA". It matches the Rfam family "Bacterial small subunit ribosomal RNA", at positions 355 to 776 of the family's 1533-position model. The record is from RNAcentral.
UAGGGAAUAUUGCACAAUGGGCGAAAGCCUGAUGCAGCAACACCGCGUGCGCGAUGAAGGCCUUCGGGUUGUAAAGCGCUUUUCGGGGAGACGAGCAAGGACGGUACCCCAGGAAGAAGGAUCGGCUAACUACGUGCCAGCAGCCGCGGUAAAACGUAGGAUCCGAGCGUUAUCCGAAUUCACUGGGCGUAAAGCGCGUGCAGGCGGCUCGCUAAGUUGGAUGUGAAAUCUCCUGGCUCAACUGGGAGAGGACGUUCAAUACUGACGGGCUAGAGGACGGUAGAGGGAGGUGGAAUUCCCGGUGUAGUGGUGAAAUGCGUAGAUAUCGGGAGGAACACCAGUGGCGAAGGCGGCCUCCUGGACCGUACCUGACGCUCAGACGCGAAAGCUAGGGGAGCAAACGGG